This 465-nucleotide ribosomal RNA is filed under the name uncultured bacterium. RNAcentral's name for it is "bacterial SSU rRNA". It matches the Rfam family "Bacterial small subunit ribosomal RNA", at positions 926 to 1391 of the family's 1533-position model. The record is from RNAcentral.
CAAGCGGUGGAGCAUGUGGUUUAAUUCGAUGCAACGCGAAGAACCUUACCUACUCUUGACAUCCAGAGAACUUUCCAGAGAUGCUUUGGUGCCUUCGGGAACUCUGAGACAGGUGCUGCAUGGCUGUCGUCAGCUCGUGUUGUGAAAUGUUGGGUUAAGUCCCGCAACGAGCGCAACCCUUAUCCUUUGUUGCCAGCGAUUCGGCCGGGAACUCAAAGGAGACUGCCGGUGAUAAACUGGAGGAAGGUGGGGAUGACGUCAAGUCAUCAUGGCCCUUACGAGUAGGGCUACACACGUGCUACAAUGGCAUAUACAAAGAGAAGCGACCUCGCGAGAGCAAGCGGACCUCAUAAAGUGCGUCGUAGUCCGGAUUGGAGUCUGCAACUCGACUCCGUGAAGUCGGAAUCGCUAGUAAUCGUGGAUCAGAAUGCCACGGUGAAUACGUUCCCGGGCCUUGUACACACC